UGGCGGACGGGUGAGUAAUGUCUGGGAAACUGCCCGAUGGAGGGGGAUAACUACUGGAAACGGUAGCUAAUACCGCAUAACGUCGCAAGACCAAAGAGGGGGACCUUCGGGCCUCUUGCCAUCGGAUGUGCCCAGAUGGGAUUAGCUAGUAGGUGGGGUAACGGCUCACCUAGGCGACGAUCCCUAGCUGGUCUGAGAGGAUGACCAGCCACACUGGAACUGAGACACGGUCCAA
Molecule: ribosomal RNA, 235 nt
Filed under: uncultured bacterium
Lineage: Bacteria
Description: partial 16S ribosomal RNA
Rfam family: Bacterial small subunit ribosomal RNA
Source: RNAcentral